RNAcentral lists this ribosomal RNA (351 nucleotides) under Triticum aestivum (bread wheat). RNAcentral's name for it is "partial small subunit ribosomal RNA". The record is from RNAcentral. Lineage: Eukaryota; Viridiplantae; Streptophyta; Magnoliopsida; Poales; Poaceae.
AUGACCCAAUGGGCCGAGCUUCACAGGCUGUCCGGUGCUGCCAUGAAGGACGUCGUGGUCCGGCUGUGGCCAAUCGAGCCAGUUCCGGAUGGUUAUUUUGGUUUGGUGCAGCGACUUGCUGAAGCGGUGCCGCGUAUCGAUGCUGUGAAGCAAUCGACGUGCAUUGAAGGUGCACGGAUGGCCUUUGCCCGUGUCAAGACAUACUGGGCGAAGAUGAAGGCCACCGAUGUUGCAGCGAAGAGUCCACCCAAGGGCAAGGAUCGUCACGCGCCAGAGCACUAUUUCGAGGAUGUCUUAGAGGGUGCCCGCUUAAUAGAGGGUCAAUGCUCGAAAGAUGUAAUUUUCGAGUGA